GACCCCGUAGCUUAAUGGAUUGAGCAGUCCCGUCCUAAGGGAAAGACUGGUGGUUCGACUCCACUCGGGGUCA
RNAcentral lists this transfer RNA (73 nucleotides) under Candidatus Levyibacteriota bacterium. RNAcentral describes it as "tRNA-Arg". It matches the Rfam family "tRNA". From Rfam's summary of the family: Transfer RNA (tRNA) molecules are approximately 80 nucleotides in length. Lineage: Bacteria; Candidatus Levyibacteriota. The record is from RNAcentral.